CAUGCUCUUCUCUAAAUCUAUCUUUUGGUAAGUCAUCUGGAUUUUAUUCUAUCUUCAAUGUACAUUUCAUUUGCCUCACAAUUUGUAAGUUUUCAGGAAGAUGGAAAAGACAUCUUCCAAUUGUACUGUCGUUUUCAGGCACAAGCUGGUUUCGAGGACCAGAGCCUCCUAAGAAGAAGAAGGGAAGAACAGAGAAGAAGAGGAAAAGAUUACUAGCAUAACAGAAUUGGUAUUGCUGUCCCCUGAGGCUCGACAAACAUCUCAGCAGAUCCUUCUAAUCCAGCUCAGCUUGGUCAUGCAUAAUCCUUCAGGUAUGCAGGCUUGUUGAUGGUCCUCUUUGGCUUUCCUUCUUGCACCUCCUUGUUGCUGGCUUUACUCUUAGUUACUCUCUGCACCUCUCUUUCUGUAUCAAUAAUCAAUUAUCUUAUUUACAUUAUUGGUUAUGUAAAGCACUAGAACUUGUGGGUUGUCAAUAUAAUUAAUUAUGCUUAUAUCAUAAUCGAUUAUGCUGUCAAAUAAAAUUGCAUAAUUGAUUAUGUAAUUUUCAAAAUCAAUUAUGAGCAUAAUUCUCAAAACAAUUUGUCCAGUAACCUUUGGAAAACAUGUGUGAAUAUAUUGGAGGUAA
This is a long non-coding RNA of Glycine soja, 625 nucleotides long. RefSeq lists it as uncharacterized. The transcript is spliced from 3 exons. NCBI's taxonomy places the organism in Eukaryota, Viridiplantae, Streptophyta, Magnoliopsida, Fabales, Fabaceae. The record is from RefSeq and is a predicted model, not a curated record.